GAUCAUUAAUGAAUUAUAGGGCUUCUUUUUAGAAGUUCCGCCAUUUCAUUUUCCAACCCUGUGCACACACUAUUCUUUUUUACACCUUUUUAACUCGUAUUAGUUGAAGAAUGUAAUCAGUCUCUUAAUUGAGCAUAAAAUAUAGUCAAAACUUUCGGCAACGGAUCUCUUGGCUCUCGCAUCGAUGAAGAACGCAGCGAAAUGCGAUACGUAAUGUGAAUUGCAGAAUUCAGUGAAUCAUCGAAUCUUUGAACGCACCUUGCACUCUUUGGUAUUCCGAAGAGUAUGUCUGUUUGAGUGUCGUGAAUCUCUCAACCCCCCUAUUUUGUAAUGAGAUAGGUUUGUGGGCUUGGAUUAUGGCUGUCUGCUGGCUAGUAAUAGCCGGCUCAGCUGAAAUACACGAGUUACCCUUGCUAUUCAUAACCUUUGAACGGCUUGACUCGGCGUAAUAACUAUUUCGCUGAGGACGUUUAAAAAUGUUGCAAUAGCUUAUAGUGGUGCUUCUAAUGCCAUUACAAUUUUGUGUUAGACCUCAAAUCAGAUAGGACU
This 549-nucleotide ribosomal RNA is filed under the name Cyrenella elegans. RNAcentral describes it as "eukaryotic LSU rRNA". The stretch from base 150 to 303 matches the Rfam family "5.8S ribosomal RNA". Lineage: Eukaryota; Fungi; Basidiomycota; Cystobasidiomycetes; Erythrobasidiales. The record is from RNAcentral.